AGUUCACAGAAAAUCAGAGGAAGCCCAAGAGAAACAACAUAAAUAUUUACUAAACUAUGGCAGAUAAUGAAUAGUCACCAGCAAAGGCCCUACAUUUGCUUUAGAUUCCAUCACAACAUGUUCAUCCAGUUACAAAUGAAGAUGUUGGAAGAAGCUAUAUUUCAAUGUACGACACGUAAAAUACAGGAGACGUUCUAGGAACAGCCCAUUGUUCUUUACGUCUCUUCCCUCUUGGCCUGCAGGGUUAGUACUGGGUAUUACAGGUUUAGUAACAGGGUAUUACAGGGUUAGUGCUGGGUAUAACAGGUUUAGUAACAGGGUAUUACAGGUUUAGUAACAGGGUAUUACAGGUUUAGUAACAGGGUAUUGCAGGGUUAGUAACAGGGUAUUACAGGGUUAGUACUGGGUAUUACAGGUUUAGUAACAGGGUAUUACAGGGUUAGUACUGGGUAUUACAGGUUUAGUAACAGGGUAUUACAGGGUUAGUACUGGGUAUUACAUGGUAUUACAUGGUAGAAGUGUUUCUCUAAAUGACAGGAGGGUAAUAUGAUGGUAAAUCCUCAGCACGCCACGCCAGGAGGACUAUUACUGUCACAGAGAGAGCCAAGUGGC
Molecule: long non-coding RNA, 612 nt
Organism: Oncorhynchus keta (chum salmon)
Lineage: Eukaryota; Metazoa; Chordata; Actinopteri; Salmoniformes; Salmonidae
Exons: 3
Source: RefSeq, a predicted model, not a curated record